RNAcentral lists this ribosomal RNA (253 nucleotides) under uncultured bacterium. RNAcentral's name for it is "partial 16S ribosomal RNA". It matches the Rfam family "Bacterial small subunit ribosomal RNA", at positions 524 to 776 of the family's 1533-position model. The record is from RNAcentral.
UACGGGGGGGGCAAGCGUUGUUCGGAUUUACUGGGCGUAAAGGGCUCGUAGGCGGCCAACUAAGUCAUACGUGAAAUCCCUCGGCUUAACCGGGGAACUGCGUCUGAUACUGGAUGGCUUGAGAUUGGGAGAGGGAUGCGGAAUUCCAGGUGUAGCGGUGAAAUGCGUAGAUAUCUGGAGGAACACCGGUGGCGAAGGCGGCGAGCUGGUCCGAUACUGACGCUGAGGCGCGAAAGCGUGGGGAGCAAACAGG